CGAACGCUGGCGGCAUGCCUAACACAUGCAAGUCGAACGAAGUCUUCGGACUUAGUGGCGCACGGGUGCGUAACGCGUGGGAAUCUGCCCUUAGGUACGGAAUAACUCAGGGAAACUUGAGCUAAUACCGUAUGAUGUCUUCGGACCAAAGAUUUAUCGCCUAGGGAUGAGCCCGCGUUGGAUUAGCUAGUUGGUGGGGUAAAGGCCUACCAAGGCGACGAUCCAUAGCUGGUCUGAGAGGAUGAUCAGCCACACUGGGACUGAGACACGGCCCAGACUCCUACGGGAGGCAGCAGUGGGGAAUAUUGGACAAUGGGCGAAAGCCUGAUCCAGCAAUGCCGCGUGAGUGAUGAAGGCCUUAGGGUUGUAAAGCUCUUUUACCCGGGAAGAUAAUGACUGUACCGGGAGAAUAAGCCCCGGCUAACUCCGU
This 430-nucleotide ribosomal RNA is filed under the name uncultured bacterium. RNAcentral's name for it is "bacterial SSU rRNA". It matches the Rfam family "Bacterial small subunit ribosomal RNA", at positions 30 to 506 of the family's 1533-position model. The record is from RNAcentral.